GAGAGAGAGAGAGAGAGAGAGAGAGAGAGAGAGAGAUGUAGAUACGAGGAAGGUAGGUGGACCUGUGCAACAUUUUGCGCAUCAACUGAAGUAUACUGGCUAUGCAUGCACAUGUUGAUAUUCUCAAGGGGUAAGCAUCCAGUCGCAGAGGGAAUGUGAUUUUUUAUUAUUUGUCUGUUGUUCCCUUCCUUGUGGUGUCGUCAUUGACUUAGCAUGUAUACGUGUGUUGUUAUUAGGCCCUUUGACACGCAGCGGCUAUUUCUAUGGCCUCUCUUUCAUAGGCACAUACUCUAACGGCCCUUCUCUAUCUCUAUCUCUAUCUCUAUCUCUCUC
RNAcentral lists this microRNA precursor (333 nucleotides) under Trypanosoma vivax Y486. The record is from RNAcentral. Lineage: Eukaryota; Euglenozoa; Kinetoplastea; Trypanosomatida; Trypanosomatidae.